This 791-nucleotide ribosomal RNA is filed under the name Hemiaulus hauckii. Its description in RNAcentral is "LSU rRNA". It matches the Rfam family "Eukaryotic large subunit ribosomal RNA", at positions 57 to 860 of the family's 3401-position model. The record is from RNAcentral. Lineage: Eukaryota; Bacillariophyta; Thalassiosirophyceae; Hemiaulales; Hemiaulaceae.
AAAAGAAACUAACUAGGAUUCCCUCAGUAAGGGCGACUGAAGCGGGAAGAGCUCACCGUGUGAAUCUGUACAGGCUAGUCCUGUGCCGAAUUGUGGUCUGUAGAGGCAUUGUCGGUCACGGUUCCGGGUCAAGUCCCUUGGAAAAGGGCAGCUGAGAGGGUGAGACUCCCGUUCUUGCCUGGAACUUUUGAUCAUGGCACGUGUCUUCAACGAGUCGAGUUGCUUGGGAUUGCAGCUCAAAUUUGGUGGUAAAUUCCAUCUAAAGCUAAAUAUUGGUGGGAGACCGAUAGCGUACAAGUACCGUGAGGGAAAGAUGCAAAGAACUUUGAAAAGAGAGUUAAAGAGUACCUGAAAUUGCUGAAAGGGAAGCGAAGGAAUCCAGUGUCUUGUUCGGCUAUACUUCUCCUGCUCCUUGGGGCAGGGGCGUUGUGGUCGGGCGUGGGCCAGCAUGGGUUCGUCUCGAGGGAAACGAUCUUGCAGGAGGUAGGUUCAUUUCGAACUGAUGACUGUAGGUUCUUGUCUUGGGGCGGACUGAGGCAAGUCACGCAAGUGCUCGUGAUGCUGGCGAAAUGGAUUUCUUUACCCCGUCUUGAAACACGGACCAAGGAGUCUAACAUAUGUGCGAGUAUAGGGGUGGCAAACCCCCAUGCGAAAUGAAAGUAACAGUGGUAGGACCUUCUGGGGCACUAUCCGCCGGCCACAAUCCUUCGGGAGAAAGGUCUGAGUGUGAGCAUACAUGUUGGGACCCGAAAGAUGGUGAACUAUGCCUGAAUAGGGUGAAGCCAGGGAAC